This 454-nucleotide ribosomal RNA is filed under the name uncultured Porphyromonadaceae bacterium. Its description in RNAcentral is "partial 16S ribosomal RNA". It matches the Rfam family "Bacterial small subunit ribosomal RNA", at positions 341 to 792 of the family's 1533-position model. The record is from RNAcentral. Lineage: Bacteria; Pseudomonadati; Bacteroidota; Bacteroidia; Bacteroidales; Porphyromonadaceae.
ACGGGAGGCAGCAGUGAGGAAUAUUGGUCAAUGGACGGAAGUCUGAACCAGCCAAGUCGCGUGCGGGAGGAAGGCCCUACGGGUCGUAAACCGCUUUUGUACGGGGAUAAAGUCACCCACGUGUGGGUGUUUGUAGGUACCGUAAGAAUAAGGAUCGGCUAACUCCGUGCCAGCAGCCGCGGUAAUACGGAGGAUCCGAGCGUUAUCCGGAUUUAUUGGGUUUAAAGGGUGCGCAGGCGGGCUGCUAAGUCUCCGGUGAAAUGUCAGGGCUCAACCUUGGCACUGCCGGAGAUACUGGCGGCCUUGAGAGUGGCGGAGGUAUCCGGAAUGUGUGGUGUAGCGGUGAAAUGCAUAGAUAUCACGAAGAACUCCGAUUGCGAAGGCAGCCAUCUGGCGUGUUACUGACGCUCAUGCUCGAAGGCGCGGGUAUCAAACAGGAUUAGAUACCCUGGUA